AUAACUGCCCUUGGGACCGGCAUAACCCCGGGAAACUGGGGAUAAUUCCGGAUAACGCACAUAUGCUGGAAUGCUUUAUGCGUAAAAUGGAUUCGUCUGCCCAAGGAUGGGUCUGCGGCCUAUCAGGUAGUAGUGGGUGUAAUGUACCUACUAGCCAACAACGGGUACGGGUUGUGAGAGCAAGAGCCCGGAGAUGGAUUCUGAGACAUGAAUCCAGGCCCUACGGGGCGCAGCAGGCGCGAAAACUUUACAAUGCGGGAAACCGUGAUAAGGGGACACCGAGUGCCAGCAUCAUAUGCUGGCUGUCCAGGUGUGCAAAAUACACCUGUCAGCAAGGGCCGGGCAAGACCGGUGCCAGCCGCCGCGGUAACACCGGCGGCCCGAGUGGUGAUCGUGAUUAUUGGGUCUAAAGGGUCCGUAGCCGGUUUGGUCAGUCCUCCGGGAAAUCUGACGGCUCAACCGUUAGGCUUUCGGGGGAUACUGCCAGGCUUGGAACCGGGAGAGGUAAGAGGUACUACAGGGGUAGGAGUGAAAUCUUGUAAUCCCUGUGAGACCACCUGUGGCGAACGCGUCUUACCAGAACGGGUUCGACGGUGAGGGACGAAAGCUGGGGGCACGAACCGGAUUAGAUACCCGGGUAGUCCCAGCCGUAAACGAUGCUCGCUAGGUGUCAGGCAUGGCGCGACCGUGUCUGGUGCCGCAGGGAAGCCGUGAAGCGAGCCACCUGGGAAGUACGGCCGCAAGGU
Molecule: ribosomal RNA, 746 nt
Filed under: uncultured archaeon
Lineage: Archaea
Description: bacterial SSU rRNA
Rfam family: Archaeal small subunit ribosomal RNA
Source: RNAcentral